UCAACCAAAGUUUGUCUGGUCUGCAGAUGUUCAUUCAGCAGCGUCUCUCACAGUGAGUCCUGACAGAGUGCAACACUUCACCUCUGACUCUGUCUCACUGACCUGUGAGGGAAACUUCACUGAGUGGAGAGUGAGGAAGUUCUCUGAGGACGGCCGACUGUACUCUGACUGUAGGAGAAUGACUGGAUCCACAUGUAACAUCAACACAUCAGAGUCAGAUACUGGAGUGUACUGGUGUGAGUCUGGAUCAGGAGAGUUCAGCAGUGCAGUCAACAUCACUGUACAGAGGAACAUCCCAACUAUAUUUCCAGUCCUCAUAAUCACUCAGAAAACCAGGUCUGCAU
Oreochromis niloticus (Nile tilapia) is the source of this 344-nucleotide long non-coding RNA. RefSeq lists it as uncharacterized. The record is from RefSeq and is a predicted model, not a curated record. NCBI's taxonomy places the organism in Eukaryota, Metazoa, Chordata, Actinopteri, Cichliformes, Cichlidae. The transcript has 3 exons.